RNAcentral lists this long non-coding RNA (1929 nucleotides) under Hordeum vulgare. RNAcentral describes it as "long non-coding RNA (HVUL_LNC006609)". Lineage: Eukaryota; Viridiplantae; Streptophyta; Magnoliopsida; Poales; Poaceae. The record is from RNAcentral.
UUGGUCUAUGGACAUGUCACGUGGAUCAAGCAUCAGAUACCGUCAGAUACUUCCAGAUCCAACAGCCCACACCCCUCAUCCUCUCACCCACCCACCGUGAGCUCCUCUCUCUCUCCCCGCGGAGCAAACCCUAGCCCAUCUCUCCCCCGCACACCCCUCCUCCUCCCUUCCAGAUCGCAGCCGCCACCUCCUCCCUUCCAGAUUGCCGCCACCACCUCCCUCCCGCGGAGCUCCCCGCCAUACAUGGCCUCCCCCACACCCUCCUCCUCUCUCCCAUCCCCUUCACUCACCGUGAGCCCUUCUCCCUCGCGAGCCCUCUCUCUAUCCCUCCCGCGACUCCUCUGCUCCACCCGAUUCCGGCGAGUUGAGGUGGGAUCUGCCACAUCCGGCAACGGCGAGGCCAGAGGUGGCCAGAUCUGACACCGGUAAGCCCCUCCCGUCCAGGCUCGCCCGGUACCUCGACCCCGACGCAUCUUUGGACAAGGUAUGCAUGCCACUGCCACCGCCGCCGCGUAUCCUAACGACUUCGUGGGGUUCUGAUAGGUUCGGUGUUUGUUCUUGGUUUAAAGGACAAGUUGUUGGAUGCGGUGCACUGGAUCCGGCAGGCGGUGGGGAUCGCCCGCGGCCUAGUCUGGGGCGUCGUCCCCCUUGUCGGUGCCUUCUGGAUCGCCCUGUCAGUCCCUCCUCCCUCCCCGCUUCCUCAAAGCCACCAUCUUUGUUUUCUUUCCCUUCAUACGCACCGUAGAUGGGGCACGGUACAGUACUAAUUAAGGUUCAUAGUUAACUGAAUUCACGAAUUCAUCUUACACCGAAUUUAGGAUCUCUCUACCAUCGUGCGGUACAGCAUUAGCGACUCAUCAGUAGAUGAGCCUAGCGAUAUCUAUUAGAUGCCUGAUUUAAGAAGGCCACUUUGUUCAGUCUGAGGAGGUAAAGUGAGUGUUAGAUUCACUCUGCAUUGGAGGUUCGUUCGGGUCGUCUCAGUACUGUCCAGUGGCCACCAACUCAUCAACGAUCAUUGGGGUGGUUCUUCACUUUGUCUGGUAUUAGAUGCGACAUGGGUUGUUUAAUCAGCUCUUUGUUUUGUGUGGCCGACAAAAAACCAACACAAUUACCGCAUAUGUACACUGGGAUGCCAUCUGCUCUUAGUUUAUGUGUGCUCAUUAGUUGAAUAAACUGGCAAAGGACUGCUAAUGUAUGAUUGGAUGGUUUUGCUCGUUUUUCUAGAGUUCCUUGGAGAGAUUAGCAUUCUCAAACAAAAUGUGAGGUGCCCUUUAUUCAGUCCAUGAGAGUAUAUGUACUUGCUUGUGGUGCAAAAUUGCAUUCUGAGUGAUGAAUUUCCAUAUUCCCUAUCUUUGCUAAACAGUCGAGCAUUUUUUGUAUGCAAACACUUAAAACCAUGGCUCUACAUUUAUCAAGUUAUCAGGUUGCCUCCUAACUAGCAACCGCUACACGCACAUAAAACUAGCACUAUCACGUGAUUCUACUUUUUCAGUAGGAGCUGUCAAACAAAAAACACAAUCUUGUAACAUUGAAUGAACUCUUUUAAGUUCUUGUGUCUUCCUGAUUGCACACUGAAUAAAUUGGGCAUCAUCAAUUACUAACAGAUUCUUCUCUCGGUUGCAGCUUUCACGGACUCUAGUUUACAGCUUGGCUCACUUCUGAGAAGCCCGUCUACAGAACUAUGAUGCUGGAUAUUCGCAGUUUAUUUCAUUCACUCUUUUGUGCAAUUAGCUAUCAUGGAUGCAAUAUCAUAGUAUUAUAGAACAACGUCAUGGAGUUGUACAAUAACUUAUUGUGUUAUGUAAACUUGGAAGAUGUAUUAUGUGAUGUUAUAUGAUGGAUGAUUUUAAUUCGACUUGGAGUUUUCUUGAUUUGAAUAUGAAAUAGUGUUGGAUUUAAUACUCGACAAAUAAUUAGGCUGGAAAGGAC